RNAcentral lists this ribosomal RNA (356 nucleotides) under Ehrlichia ewingii. RNAcentral's name for it is "bacterial SSU rRNA". It matches the Rfam family "Bacterial small subunit ribosomal RNA", at positions 92 to 483 of the family's 1533-position model. Lineage: Bacteria; Pseudomonadati; Pseudomonadota; Alphaproteobacteria; Rickettsiales; Anaplasmataceae. The record is from RNAcentral.
UUAGUGGCAGACGGGUGAGUAAUGCGUAGGAAUCUACCUAGUAGUAUGGAAUAGCCAUUAGAAAUGAUGGGUAAUACUGUAUAAUCCCUGCGGGGGAAAGAUUUAUCGCUAUUAGAUGAGCCUACGUUAGAUUAGCUAGUUGGUAAGGUAAUGGCUUACCAAGGCUAUGAUCUAUAGCUGGUCUGAGAGGACGAUCAGCCACACUGGAACUGAGAUACGGUCCAGACUCCUACGGGAGGCAGCAGUGGGGAAUAUUGGACAAUGGGCGAAAGCCUGAUCCAGCUAUGCCGCGUGAGUGAAGAAGGCCUUCGGGUUGUAAAGCUCUUUCAAUAGGGAAGAUAAUGACGGUACCUAUA